Molecule: ribosomal RNA, 244 nt
Filed under: uncultured bacterium
Lineage: Bacteria
Description: partial 16S ribosomal RNA
Rfam family: Bacterial small subunit ribosomal RNA
Source: RNAcentral
GAUCAUGGCUCAGGAUGAACGCUAGCUACAGGCUUAACUCAUGCAAGUCGAGGGGCAGCAUUUCAGUUUGCUUGCAAACUGGAGAUGGCGACCGGCGCACGGGUGAGUAACACGUAUCCAACCUGCCGAUAACUCGGGGAUAGCCUUUCGAAAGAAAGAUUAAUACCCGAUGGUAUAAUUAGACCGCAUGGUCUUGUUAUUAAAGAAUUUCGGUUAUCGAUGGGGAUGCGUUCCAUUAGGGCAG